This 253-nucleotide ribosomal RNA is filed under the name uncultured bacterium. RNAcentral describes it as "partial 16S ribosomal RNA". It matches the Rfam family "Bacterial small subunit ribosomal RNA", at positions 524 to 776 of the family's 1533-position model. The record is from RNAcentral.
UACGAAGGGUGCAAACGUUGCUCGGAAUCAUUGGGCGUAAAGCGCACGUAGGCGGCCUGAUAAGUCGGAUGUGAAAUCCCUCGGCUCAACUGAGGACGUGCAUUCGAAACUGCCAGGCUCGAGUAUGGAAGAGGGUCGCGGAAUUCCCGGUGUAGAGGUGAAAUUCGUAGAUAUCAGGAGGAACACCAGUGGCGAAGGCGGCGACCUGGGCCAAUACUGACGCUGAGGUGCGAAAGCGUGGGGAGCAAACAGG